GAAAAUUGAAUUGAUAUAUGAUAAGCAUAAACAUAUGAAUUGUUAUUAAACCGAACCUCAAGAAUCAAGAACAAGAAUUCCUCACACCAAUGGAUCGAAAAUAAGUUUAGUUCUCCAUUCAAGCGGUGGCUGCUAGGGUUUUUUUAUUUUCUCGUGAACAGUGAAUAAUAACCCUAGCUGCCUUUUUUCGGUUUAAAUAAUACAUGGAACGGGCCUUAAAACAAUUGGGCCGAAAAAUAUGAAGUUGUGCUGAAAUUAAAUUCGUCUGGAACAUAAACGCCAUUAUUUGACACACUUGCGCUCCGAACUGGGUUUUGGCCUCAACAUGAAAGUCGUAGCUCUUGAUCUCAGCUUUCCAACGCAUCUUCCCGCGCCUCAAUCCGAUAUUUGUAACUCCAGUUAUAACCUGCGGACCGGAAGGGUGUCAAAGUGCUAUUUAUUCAUAAAUUAAGUGCGAAAAUAAAAUAGAGUUAGAAAUAAACUUAAAUAUAAAAACUCCUUAAAAUAGU
This 509-nucleotide long non-coding RNA is filed under the name Trifolium pratense (red clover). Its description in RNAcentral is "long non-coding RNA (TPRA_LNC003542)". The record is from RNAcentral. Lineage: Eukaryota; Viridiplantae; Streptophyta; Magnoliopsida; Fabales; Fabaceae.